RNAcentral lists this ribosomal RNA (178 nucleotides) under uncultured Bacillus sp. Its description in RNAcentral is "partial 16S ribosomal RNA". It matches the Rfam family "Bacterial small subunit ribosomal RNA", at positions 337 to 507 of the family's 1533-position model. Lineage: Bacteria; Bacillati; Bacillota; Bacilli; Caryophanales; Bacillaceae. The record is from RNAcentral.
UCCUACGGGAGGCAGCAGUAGGGAAUCUUCCGCAAUGGACGAAAGUCUGACGGAGCAACGCCGCGUGAGUGAUGAAGGCUUUCGGGUCGUAAAACUCUGUUGUUAGGGAAGAACAAGUACGAGAGUAACUGCUCGUACCUUGACGGUACCUAACCAGAAAGCCACGGCUAACUACGUG